ACCCCACCACAUUGCUUCAAGCUAGUCACACCCUCCCUUUAUUGCAGCCAUGACCACCUAUAGCUCUGAAAUCGACCUUCCUCUCCUCCUCCCCUGAACCACCAUCCCGUAUAACUAUCAAAAUAGACCUCCCCGUUCCAUCCUCUCCCGGCCCCUGCACACCUACACUAGCAUUCCAUCAUGUUGACCCGUCGAGAGACGCCUCGGCCACCCCCUUCACCAUGGCCAGCGAUCAACCGACAGGGGGAAGUAGUCAGUCGAUGGAACCAUGACACGACGCUGAUUCAUCGGCGGCGUUGCAGCUUUCUAAGUUCACAAUGCAUUUUUCGCUGCUUCCAAUAAAGGAGGGGGGGGUCUCUCCUGCAGGGCAACUUUAAAAACUUUGGCAUUUCCAUCUCCGAAGAUGACUCCGGUCCUCUUGUGGUGAUCGGGGUUCUUGAGAAGUUAUUGCAGGAUGUAUCGUUCUUCUCCGUGUGGUAAUUCUAAAUAAAUCUCCGUUGUGGCUAUAGUUGGUAGUCUUUGUUCAUCAGGCUGCCACUGCCAGCUAUUGUAGUUGUUCGUGUAGGUGUGCGAGGAGGCAAGUUUGUGGGGUGGUGGGUGAAUGCAUAUGCGUAUGAUUUACGUGCGGUUCCACAUACUGCUACGGUAGCCGUUUGAGUAGGUGCAUGAAAAUACUAGUUUGCGGGUCUGUGUCUGCGUAUGCAUAUAUGCGUGUGAUUUACGUGCACUUCUGUGGUGGUUGGCACGUCAGAGACUCAGAGUACAAUUGUAGCUGGUUGCUAUCAUCUGUGGCUUUCCUCCUUGCUUUAUCUUAACCAAGGAAUCAAGGAUGGUUUGGGAGCUCCCAUGCCCGCCAAUGGGAGAGGGUCAGACAGUGGGAUUCCACCGGUAAAAUCUGGAGUUGGCAAUUAUGAGACCCUCCCCACCUCUGCUUCUAGCACCGUAUGAGUAUGGAGGACUCUCGUUUCUUGCAAGUAACAUUUGGCCAAUGUGAUCUCUAACUAUAAUAUAUAACCAGCCUCAUCAUCCUUCCAGGAGUGGGUGCUGAGAUUCUUAUUAGAUUUCUGUUAGCUAAUCAUUAGUUCUAGUAACUUUAGGAUUGAGGUUCAUGUUAAGUUUAGGUUAAAUUUUUAAUUUAUAUAUUGAGUUUGUUUUUAAGUUGAA
This is a non-coding RNA of Phoenix dactylifera (date palm), 1164 nucleotides long. The record is from RefSeq and is a predicted model, not a curated record. Lineage: Eukaryota; Viridiplantae; Streptophyta; Magnoliopsida; Arecales; Arecaceae.